UACGGGGGGGGCAAGCGUUGUUCGGAAUUACUGGGCGUAAAGCGCACGUAGGCGGAUUUGUUAGUCAGGGGUGAAAUCCCGAGGCUCAACCUCGGAACUGCCUUUGAUACUGCAAAUCUCGAGUCCGGAAGAGGUGAGUGGAAUUCCUAGUGUAGAGGUGAAAUUCGUAGAUAUUAGGAAGAACACCAGUGGCGAAGGCGGCUCACUGGUCCGGUACUGACGCUGAGGUGCGAAAGCGUGGGGAGCAAACAGG
This 253-nucleotide ribosomal RNA is filed under the name uncultured bacterium. RNAcentral's name for it is "partial 16S ribosomal RNA". It matches the Rfam family "Bacterial small subunit ribosomal RNA", at positions 524 to 776 of the family's 1533-position model. The record is from RNAcentral.